GAAUCCGCUAAGGAGUGUGUAACAACUCACCUGCCGAAUGAAUUAGCCCUGAAAAUGGAUGGCGCUUAAGCGGGUGGCCGACACCACACCGUCUGGUAAAUGUUAUUUGAUCAGAUGAGUAGGAGGGCGUGGCGGGUGUGUCGAAGCGUGCAUGCAGAUGCGCGUGGAACAGCCGCUAGUGCAGAUCUUGGUGGUAGUAGCAAGUAUUCAAGCGAGAUCCUUGAAGGGCGAAGCGGGGAAGGGUUCCACGCGAACAUUGAUUGGGCGUGGGUGAGUCGUUCCUAAGCCGAGUGGCAAUUGCUAAGUAGCGGCGAAAGGGAAGCGGGUUGACAUUCCCGCACACGGAUGUGGAGGCGGUGACGCGCAUUGGGGCGAACACGCUGGCGACGGCGCUGGGCAGAGUUGUCUUUUCUGUUUGACCUACUUAGCGUGCUGUGUGGAAUCCGCUUGUUGGGAGAAACACGCACGUUGGGGCAGAGCGCCGGGGCUUUUCCGGCGUCCAGCUCGCCGUCGACGGCCCUUGAAACUUUGCCUGCUGAUAUUCUUUAUUGAAUUAAGAUCCACGCCGUGGCGUACCGAUCACCGCAUCAGGUCCCCAAGGUGAACAGCCUCUGCUCAGUAUGAAAAAUGCAGGUAAGGGAAGUCGGCA
Molecule: ribosomal RNA, 649 nt
Filed under: Dudresnaya hawaiiensis
Lineage: Eukaryota; Rhodophyta; Florideophyceae; Gigartinales; Dumontiaceae
Description: eukaryotic LSU rRNA
Rfam family: Eukaryotic large subunit ribosomal RNA
Source: RNAcentral